UACGUAGGGGGCAAGCGUUAUCCGGAUUUACUGGGUGUAAAGGGAGCGUAGGUGGUAUGGUAAGUCAGAAGUGAAAGCCCAGGGCUCAACCCUGGGACUGCUUUUGAAACUAUCAGACUAGAGUGCAGGAGAGGUAAGUGGAAUUCCUAGUGUAGCGGUGAAAUGCGUAGAUAUUAGGAGGAACACCAGUGGCGAAGGCGGCUUACUGGACUGUAACUGACACUGAGGCUCGAAAGCGUGGGGAGCAAACAGG
This 253-nucleotide ribosomal RNA is filed under the name uncultured bacterium. RNAcentral describes it as "partial 16S ribosomal RNA". It matches the Rfam family "Bacterial small subunit ribosomal RNA", at positions 524 to 776 of the family's 1533-position model. The record is from RNAcentral.